AACGGAGGAUGCGAGCGUUAUCCGGAUUUAUUGGGUUUAAAGGGUGCGUAGGCGGACUGUCAAGUCAGCGGUAAAAUUGAGAGGCUCAACCUCUUCCCGCCGUUGAAACUGGUGGUCUUGAGUGGAUGAGAAGUACGCGGAAUGCGUGGUGUAGCGGUGAAAUGCAUAGAUAUCACGCAGAACUCCGAUUGCGAAGGCAGCGUACCGGCAUCCAACUGACGCUGAGGCACGAAAGCGUGGGGAGCAAACAGG
Molecule: ribosomal RNA, 252 nt
Filed under: uncultured bacterium
Lineage: Bacteria
Description: partial 16S ribosomal RNA
Rfam family: Bacterial small subunit ribosomal RNA
Source: RNAcentral